This 392-nucleotide ribosomal RNA is filed under the name uncultured Gammaproteobacteria bacterium. RNAcentral describes it as "bacterial SSU rRNA". It matches the Rfam family "Bacterial small subunit ribosomal RNA", at positions 370 to 779 of the family's 1533-position model. The record is from RNAcentral. Lineage: Bacteria; Pseudomonadati; Pseudomonadota; Gammaproteobacteria.
AAUGGGCGCAAGCCUGAUCCAGCCAUGCCGCGUGAGUGAUGAAGGCCCUAGGGUCGUAAAGCUCUUUCGCCUGUGAAGAUAAUGACGGUAGCAGGUAAAGAAACCCCGGCUAACUCCGUGCCAGCAGCCGCGGUAAUACGGAGGGGGUUAGCGUUGUUCGGAAUUACUGGGCGUAAAGCGCGCGUAGGCGGACUAUUAAGUCAGAGGUGAAAUCCCGGGGCUCAACCCCGGAACUGCCUUUGAUACUGGUAGUCUUGAGUUCGAGAGAGGUAAGUGGAAUUCCGAGUGUAGAGGUGAAAUUCGUAGAUAUUCGGAGGAACACCAGUGGCGAGGGCGGCUUACUGGCUCGAUACUGACGCUGAGGUGCGAAAGUGUGGGGAGCAAACAGGAUU